AUGGGAGCCUCGGAGAGAAGAGAGGAAGUUUAAGAAAGGAUGGAGGAGAACCAGGACGGAAGCCUCUGAGAACAAAGAAAAUCAGCUCAAUACGGCUACUUUGUACUCACCACGACAGGCCCCAUCGUCACAACCUCCACCAACAUUCACUGGACACCUGCCAUUUCUCAGGAGAAGUGUGAAUUCCAGGAAGAGAAUAUGAAGAUGUGUCAAGACUCCCAGCCCAGUGCCCCCCAGAACGGCCCCCUGCACCGUAAGGGAGCCAGUGCCCAGCAUCGCUCUUCCCAGAAAAUUACUCUGUCAUUACAGUCCUUAAGCGGGGGGUGAACCGGCUGGAGAGCUAAGGGCUCCUUGUAAACAAACAUGAUUUCACAGGAUUAGGCACACAGCUUAUACUUUGUUCUUUUCCCUUCGGAGCAGAUGUUAGUGAUGGUUUUCUUCUGCUGGCUAGGAGCCUGAUUACGAUGUGCUCCAAACUGUGCAGGGAAUGAAGAUUAUUAAAGGGACUGGAGGCACCUGAAAGGUCUUCAUCUAAAUGAGCAAACAUAUUCCCGCUUUUCACUGGAGGAACUCAGAUCGGUUACAGCAACGAUGUGAGAAACAUCCCUGCCUCCUGAGGAGAGACUUCAAGCUAGGGAAAUCUGCAAGAUCAACAAAAUGUUUAAGACAUUUCAUGUGCUCAACACAAGUCCAAAGGCUGCCAAGACGACUGCUUGGAACCUGAAUUUACUGUGGAUCUCACUUCAUCCUUAAUAUGUUGAGUUGGUGGUGGUGUGAUGUCUAUGCAGACGGCUUUUCUUCUGGCUGUAUCCCUUCCUCCCAAGAAAUAUAAAUUUAGCCCUUCGGUAUUCUGAAUAUCAGUGACCAUGAUGAUGCCACGGUAAAUUUCUAAAUUUGA
This is a long non-coding RNA of Hyaena hyaena (striped hyena), 898 nucleotides long. RefSeq lists it as uncharacterized. The record is from RefSeq and is a predicted model, not a curated record. The transcript is spliced from 2 exons. NCBI's taxonomy places the organism in Eukaryota, Metazoa, Chordata, Mammalia, Carnivora, Hyaenidae.